GAUGAACGCUGGCGGCGUGCCUAAUACAUGCAAGUCGAGCGAACAGACGAGUAGCUUGCUGCUCUGAUGUUAGCGGCGGACGGGUGAGUAACACGUGGAUAACCUACCUAUACGACUGGGAUAACUUCGGGAAACCGGAGCUAAUACCGGAUAAUAUUUUGAACCGCAUGGUUCAAUAGUGAAAGACGGUUUUGCUGUCACUUAUAGAUGGAUCCGCGCCGCAUUAGCUAGUUGGUAAGGUAACGGCUUACCAAGGCAACGAUGCGUAGCCGACCUGAGAGGGUGAUCGGCCACACUGGAACUGAGACACGGUCCAGACUCCUACGGGAGGCAGCAGUAGGGAAUCUUCCGCAAUGGGCGAAAGCCUGACGGAGCAACGCCGCGUGAGUGAUGAAGGUCUUCGGAUCGUAAAACUCUGUUAUUAGGGAAGAACAAAUGUGUAAGUAACUGUGCACGUCUUGACGGUACCUAAUCAGAAAGCCACGGCUAACUACGUG
Molecule: ribosomal RNA, 497 nt
Filed under: uncultured bacterium
Lineage: Bacteria
Description: partial 16S ribosomal RNA
Rfam family: Bacterial small subunit ribosomal RNA
Source: RNAcentral